Molecule: long non-coding RNA, 2735 nt
Organism: Piliocolobus tephrosceles (Ugandan red Colobus)
Lineage: Eukaryota; Metazoa; Chordata; Mammalia; Primates; Cercopithecidae
Exons: 9
Source: RefSeq, a predicted model, not a curated record
CUCUGCCUCCCAGGUUCAAGCGAUUCUCCUGCUUCAGCCUCCCUAGCAGCUGGGAUUACAGGGUCAUCUAAAUGAUGGCAGUUCCACCUUUCUUUAUGGCCACCUCCUGCAGGGACAGCAGACAGCAGCUUGUGGUUGGUCAGGAGAUGCUGGAAGACUGGAGGAAAGCUCCUGAUGGGGCAGCGAUGAGCAGAGGCUUGUGGACUGGACCUGUGUGGUUUCGUAGCAAUGAUAAGGAAACUAAACUGGAUUAAGUGCUAUCAUCUUGGAGGUGCAAAGGCAAACAAGGAGAAAGAAGUGAUUGAAGAGCACUUCAGAAAGCCUGGUACAUUCAAAUCAGCAGGGCUUGAUUACUCGCAUCCCAAGACACUUAAGGAAUUGGCAAAUAUAAUUGCAAGACCACCAGCCUUUAUUUUAGAAAAUGAAGGUUGGACAGAAGAAGGUCCUGACAAGUAGAAUCAGCAGAUGGAGUACCUGUUUUUUAAAACAGGGAAAAGGACAGCUGUAGUAAUUAUAGACUAUUCAGCUUAUCUUGGAUACCUGGGAAGAUACAAGAGCAAAUCAUCAAACAAUCAAUUUGCAACCACCUAGAAGAGCACAAGGAAUAUUGAUCUCAGCGUUACUUUGACCAUUAAUGAAUUAUGAUGGCAAUAAGCAAAGAUGUGCACCUCUAGCCUCCGGGGAGCUUAAUCUUCUGCUACAACGUUUGCAUUUAGACAGGGUGUCUCUCUGCUGCUCAGGCUGGAGUGCAGUGGUGCAAUCAUAGCUCACUGCAGCCUCGACUUCCUGGGCUCCAGUGACCCUCUCGCCUGAAACCGUACUCCCCCUCAAGCAGCUGAGACUACAGGCAGUGUUUAAGAAGGAUCCAGAAAUACUUCAAGCAAUGCCAGUGGUAGUGUUGCCUCCUCAGAAGACUGCUUUCAGGGGAACAGUAUACAUCUGUCCUGUAAAUUCUGGAUGGUUAUAAACUUCUGGAGAUCAAAGGCCUUGCUAGUCUAACUUGCUCUUUUGUAUGAUGAUGGAUGCUUUGAGGAUGGAAGGGGUACAAGGAAACCUGUAGACCAAGUGCAGCAGAAGGCCCAGGAUAGAACUCUAAGGAUGACAAGGAACAUGGUCCCAUCUCCAGGAGGCUGCAGUGUGGUUGGAGUGGCAAGACAUGGCAACAAAGGAGAAUAACUCAGUGUGUGAGAAGCCUACAGGAAAUGAGUGCUGUAGUAUUUCAGAGGAGAGCAAGAUUAACUCCUGAUGCUGUGAUCAAGGCAGUUUUCAUGAGAAGUGGCAUUUGAUUUGGGACUUGAAAGCAGGGGAGUAUUUUACUAGCUGGAAAUAUAAGUGGCAAAAGAAAAUAAAGGAGAAGGAGAGUGCAUUUCAUGUAAAUGGACUGGCAUGAACAAAUAAAGGAAAUAAUGUAUUUUAAUCAGUUUAUCCUUUUGGCAAAGAAACAGGGACAAUUUUUUUUGGGGGGGGGUCUAUAUUCUGAUAAAACACGGCAAUUUAGAGUAAGAAAGAGACUUUAGAGAUUAUCUCAUCAAAUGUCCUUAUUUUUCUAGGUAUGAAAACUGAGGUGCAGAAAUGAAUAACUAUUGAAAGUCACAAACUGCACUUCUCACACAGUAUUGAAUUCAUCUGUCCACCUGGCUCAUCAAACAAAUUGUUCCCUGAGUUCAAGGAUCAUGCUGCAUGCUGGAUUCCCCAGGAAGCUGCUUCUGAGAUGGAGUUUAGUGACCAAAAUAUGUAUGUGGGCCUUUGGAUCAUCACCUGUGGAAAGGAAGACAAGGAAACAGGAAUGGACCUAAGGUGAAGUGAAGCUCUGAUGCAAACCUGACAACUGUCUCACCUGACACCACGAAGAGCUCUGGAGCUGGAAUGGCCUUUCGUUGUUCUGAAUUAGUGUGAGGUAGCUAGGUCUUUACACCCCUGCCACCACCCAUUAUUGGGUAUGGGCCAACCAGGAAGGGGCAUGACCAUGAGUGAUGCAGCUCUGCAGCUGAAGCAGUACCUGAAGAGGCUGACAGCUGAGGGCCAUCUGCUGACAGCACUCCCUGCAGCUGGGCAGCACAUCCUUUCUCAAAAGGGGAUUAAGGCAGUUGCAUCUCCAUGUCCACCAUGGACUAUAUUUUUUUUCUUUGCAUUCCUAGGGCUUCUCAUAGUAUAUGGCACAUAGUAGGCAAAACUGGAGGUCUGUGUGGCAAAUUCAGCUAGUAGAUGAGUAUUGUUUUUCACCCACAAAGAGAUUUUUAAAAAUUAGUUGUCAACAUUUAAAAAUGAAAAGAUUUCAUAUUGAAAUUAUCAUAUUUUCUAGCUUUUCUUGAAAAAUCGAAACAUCUGGCCAACAUUAGAUCUUUUGCUGAGAUGGAAACUGUGGGCUGGAGCUGAGCCAAGAUUGUCCUCAGACAGGCUUGUGAGCUCAAGGUCUCCAGACACACACCUUCCCCACUCCUUGAGGCAUGGAACCCUGCCUGCUGCAUGCAUUUACGUUACCUGUUCCCUGCAGUCCUUUGAGUUUGCCACCCCUAUUAGUUAUUAAAGAAAUGUUUAUUGAACUGAGCAAACAUUAACAUCACUGCAUUACACUUCUCAAGGGAUAUUCAUGUACAUUCACUUAUUUAAUCCUUAAAACAACCCUGAAAACUAGGGUUUUUCAUCUGUAAAAUGGAGGUAUGAUCACCUCCAUUUUACAGAUGAGGACACUGAAUCCCAGAGUGGCUAUGACUGCCCAAGGUCUCUAGCUGGAA